GGUUUCAUAGUGUAGCGGUAUCACCCAGGACUCUGAAUCCUGUAACCUGAGUUCGAAUCUCAGUGGAACCA
RNAcentral lists this transfer RNA (71 nucleotides) under Mitosporidium daphniae. It matches the Rfam family "tRNA". Rfam says of the family: Transfer RNA (tRNA) molecules are approximately 80 nucleotides in length. Their secondary structure includes four short double-helical elements and three loops (D, anti-codon, and T loops). Further hydrogen bonds mediate the characteristic L-shaped molecular structure. tRNAs have two regions of fundamental functional importance: the anti-codon, which is responsible for specific mRNA codon recognition, and the 3' end, to which the tRNAs corresponding amino acid is attached (by aminoacyl-tRNA synthetases). tRNAs cope with the degeneracy of the genetic code in two manners: having more than one tRNA (with a specific anti-codon) for a particular amino acid; and 'wobble' base-pairing, i.e. permitting non-standard base-pairing at the 3rd anti-codon position. The record is from Rfam by way of RNAcentral. Lineage: Eukaryota; Fungi; Microsporidia.